AGGAGGCGCGGGGCGGGGCGCGGCGCAGGGGUGGGGCCGCAGCGCGCAUGCGUCCUAGCUGCGGGUCCCUGCGGCUCGGGAUGGAGGCUGGACAUCUGUUCUGCUGUUGUGUCUUGCCAUUCUCCUGAAGAACAGAGGCACACCGUAAUACCCAACACUUCCCCUUGCAUUCUAUGAGAUUACAGCAAGAUGGAGAUACCAAAUCCCCCUACCUCCAAAUGUAUCACUUACUGGAAAAGAAAAGUGAAAUCUGAAUAUAUGCGACUUCGACAACUUAAACGGCUUCAGGCAAAUAUGGGUGCAAAGGCUUUGUAUGUGGCAAAUUUUGCAAAGGUUCAAGAAAAAACCCAGAUCCUCAAUGAAGAAUGGAAGAAGCUUCGUGUCCAACCUGUUCAGUCGAUGAAGCCUGUGAGUGGACACCCUUUUCUCAAAAAGUGUACCAUAGAGAGCAUUUUCCCGGGAUUUGCAAGCCAACAUAUGUUAAUGAGGUCACUGAACACAGUUGCAUUGGUUCCCAUCAUGUAUUCCUGGUCCCCUCUCCAGCAGAACUUUAUGGUAGAAGAUGAGACGGUUUUGUGCAAUAUUCCCUACAUGGGAGAUGAAGUGAAAGAAGAAGAUGAGACUUUUAUUGAGGAGCUGAUCAAUAACUAUGAUGGGAAAGUCCAUGGUGAAGAAGGUAGCGAGAUGAUCCCUGGAUCCGUCCUGAUUAGUGAUGCUGUUUUUCUGGAGUUGGUCGAUGCCCUGAAUCAAUACUCAGAUGAGGAGGAGGAUGGGCACAAUGACACCUCAGAUGGAAAGCAGGAUGACAGCAAAGAAGAUCUGCCAGUAACAAGAAAGAGAAAGCGACAUGCUAUUGAAGGCAACAAAAAGAGUUCCAAGAAACAGUUCCCAAAUGACAUGAUCUUCAGUGCAAUUGCCUCAAUGUUCCCUGAGAAUGGUGUCCCAGAUGACAUGAAGGAGAGGUAUCGAGAGCUAACAGAGAUGUCAGACCCCAAUGCACUUCCCCCUCAGUGCACACCCAACAUCGAUGGCCCCAAUGCCAAGUCUGUGCAGCGGGAGCAAUCUCUGCACUCCUUCCACACACUUUUUUGCCGGCGCUGCUUUAAAUACGACUGCUUCCUUCACCCUUUUCAUGCCACCCCUAAUGUAUAUAAACGCAAGAAUAAAGAAAUCAAGAUUGAACCAGAACCAUGUGGCACAGACUGCUUCCUUUUGCUGGAAGGAGCAAAGGAAUAUGCCAUGCUCCACAACCCCCGCUCCAAGUGCUCUGGUCGUCGCCGGAGAAGGCACCACAUGGUCAGUGCUUCCUGCUCCAACGCCUCAGCCUCUGCUGUGGCUGAGACUAAAGAAGGAGACAGUGACAGGGACACAGGCAAUGACUGGGCCUCCAGUUCUUCUGAGGCUAACUCUCGCUGUCAGACUCCCACAAAACAGAAGGCUAGUCCAGCCCCACCUCAGCUCUGUGUAGUGGAAGCACCCUCGGAGCCUGUGGAAUGGACUGGGGCUGAAGAAUCUCUUUUUCGAGUCUUCCAUGGCACCUAUUUCAACAACUUCUGUUCAAUAGCCAGGCUUCUAGGGACUAAGACGUGCAAGCAGGUCUUUCAGUUUGCAGUCAAAGAAUCACUUAUCCUGAAGCUGCCAACAGAUGAGCUCAUGAACCCCUCACAGAAGAAGAAAAGAAAGCACAGAUUGUGGGCUGCACACUGCAGGAAGAUUCAGCUGAAGAAAGAUAACUCUUCCACACAAGUGUACAACUACCAACCCUGUGACCACCCAGACCGCCCCUGUGACAGCACCUGCCCCUGCAUCAUGACUCAGAAUUUCUGUGAGAAGUUCUGCCAGUGCAACCCAGACUCUGGAGUUUUAAUAUCAGAUAGAAGACAGGGCCUGGAUGUCAGCAGAGACAUCCAGGUCAGAAUCGUUUCCCUGGCUGUCGCUGUAAGACUCAGUGCAAUACCAAGCAAUGUCCUUGCUAUCUGGCAGUGCGAGAAUGUGACCCUGACCUGUGUCUCACCUGUGGGGCCUCAGAGCACUGGGACUGCAAGGUGGUUUCCUGUAAAAACUGCAGCAUCCAGCGUGGCCUCAAGAAGCACCUGCUGCUGGCCCCCUCGGAUGUGGCUGGAUGGGGCACCUUCAUAAAGGAGUCUGUGCAGAAGAAUGAAUUCAUUUCUGAAUACUGUGGUGAGCUCAUUUCUCAGGACGAGGCUGAUCGUCGCGGAAAGGUCUAUGACAAAUACAUGUCCAGCUUCCUCUUCAACCUCAAUAAUGAUUUUGUAGUGGAUGCUACUCGGAAAGGAAACAAAAUUCGAUUUGCAAAUCAUUCAGUGAAUCCCAACUGUUAUGCCAAAGUGGUCAUGGUGAAUGGAGACCAUCGGAUUGGGAUCUUUGCCAAGAGGGCAAUUCAAGCUGGCGAAGAGCUCUUCUUUGAUUACAGGUACAGCCAAGCUGAUGCUCUCAAGUACGUGGGGAUCGAGAGGGAGACCGACGUCCUUUAGCCCUCCCAGGCCCCAUGGCAGCAUUUAUGGUAGCGGCACUGUCUUGGCUUUCAUGCUCACACCACUGCUGCUCGAGUCUCCUGCACUGUGUCUCCCACACUGAGAAACCCCCCACCCACUCCCUCUGUAGUGAGGCCUCUGCCAUGUCAAGUGGGCACAAAACUGUCUCAAUGAGAGGGGAGACAGAGGCAGCUAGGGCUUGGUCUCCCAGGAGAGAGUUGCAGAAAUGGGAGACUUUCUCUGGCCUCAGAGGAAGUGAGCACAGGCUGGAGUAGAUGACUUAUAUGUGAUUUCGUGUCGGCUCCCCAGGUUGUGGGCCUCAGGAAUCAACUUAGGCAGUUCCCCACAAGCACUAGCCUGUAAUUGUAGCUUUCCCCAUCAGGCAUCCCUAUGUCAUUGGGGUGCAGGCAAACCUCUGUGAUCCUAAGACCUGGAGAGGACAGGCUAAGUGAAGCGUGGUCCCUGGACCCUACAAGUGGUCUGGGUUAGAGGCAGGCCUGGCAGGCAGCACAGACUGAACUCAGAGGUAGACGGGUCACCUUACUACCUCCUCCCUUGUGGCAGGGCUCAAACUGAAAGAGUGUGGGUUCUAAAUACAGGCAUUUGAGGCUUGGGGAAGGAAAGCUAUGCCAUCCUUCCUUGGCCAGAGAGGGAGAACCAGCCAGAUGAUAGUAGUUUAACUGCUAUGCUUGGGCCCAGGAGGCUUUGAGAAAGCCUUCUCUGUGUACUCUGGAGAUAGACGGAGAAGUGUUUUCAGAUUCCUGGGAGCAGACGCCAGUGCCCAGCUCUCCAAAGUUCUGGCUUAGCAGCUGCAGGCAGGCAUUAUGCUGCUAUUGAAGAAGCAUUAGGGGUGUGCCUGGCAGGUGUGAGCACCCUGGCUCGCUGGAUUUGUAGGUGUUUUCAGGCCUUCCUUUCCCCAUAGAGGCAAGGCCCAAUGGCCAGUGUUGCUUAUCUCUUCAGGGUAGGUAGGCAUAGGCCUGGACUAGAGAGGGGAAAGAUUGGUGUAAUCUGCUUUCCUGUCUGUAGUGCCUGCUGUUUGGAAAGGGUGAGUUGGAAUAUGUGUUCCAAGUUGGGUGAGGGGCUAAAUUGCACGUGUUUAGGCUGGCAUCCCGUGUGCAGGUGGAGGGUAUGUGAAGUGGGAGAAGAAGCAGGUAGACCACCUGUUCCAGGCUGUGGUGCCACCCUCUCUGGGAUUCAUGCAGAGCAAAGCACUUUAACCAUUUAUUUUAGAAGGUCUAUAGAUUGGGGUAGAGUUUGGGCUAAGGUCUCUAGGGUCCCUGCCCAAAUCCCACUCCUGAGGGAGGGGGAAGAAGAGAGAGCGGGAGAUUCUCUUCCAGUCCUGUCUCAUCUCCUGGGAGAGGCAGAGGAGCGAGCUUCACACAGAAUUUCAUGUGAAUGGGGCCAGCAAGAGCUGCCCUGUGUCCACGGCAGGUGUGCCAGGCUGGCUGGGAACAAGGAAUAGUGUGCUGGGUAGAAAGGGCGUGGGCGGGUGUAGAUUGGCCUGGGAGUGUUAUAGUAGGGAGCAGGCUUCUUCCUUCUUUCUGAGACUCGCAGCCCCCACUUCUUCCCACUCCACUGGUUGUCCCAUGAAGGAAGAAGUGGGGUUCCCCCGACCCAGCUGCCUCUUAGGGUUUGGUGUGAGACAUGCACACACACUCACACGCUCUCACUCACCACACUGGAGGGCACACAUGCAUCCCGCACUCAGCAACUCCUGACAGAAAGCUCUUCCCACCCAAAUAGGCCAGGCCCCAGCAUGAUCCUGAAAUCUGCAUCUGCCGUGGUUUGUAUUCAUUGUGCAUAUCAGGGAUACCCUCAAGCUGGACUGUGGGCUCCAAAUUACUCAUAGAGGAGAAAACCGGAGAAAGAUGAAGAGGAGGAGUUAGCUCUGUUUGAAAUGCCAGGGGCUGGCCAUGAGGAAUAGGUGAAAAAAAACUUUUCACCAGCCUUUGAGAGACUAGACUGACCCUACCCUUCCCUCAGUGAGCAGAAUCACUGUGGUCAGUCUCCUCCUGUCCCAGCUUCAGUUCAUGAAUACUCCUGUUCCUCCAGUUUCCCAUCCUUUGUCCCUGCUGUCCCCUACUUUUAAAGAUGGGUCUCAACCCCUCCCCACCACGUCAUGAUGGAUGGGGCAAGGUGGUGGGGCCUGGGGGAGCCUGGUAUACAUGCGGCUUCAUUGCCAAUAAAUUUCACGCACUUUAAAAGUCCUGUGGCUUGUGACCUCUUAUCUGAAUAAAGUGUUAGAAUCCA
RNA transcript from Cercocebus atys (sooty mangabey), 4745 nucleotides. It is a transcript of the gene named enhancer of zeste 1 polycomb repressive complex 2 subunit, with no coding region annotated. NCBI's taxonomy places the organism in Eukaryota, Metazoa, Chordata, Mammalia, Primates, Cercopithecidae. The transcript has 22 exons. The record is from RefSeq and is a predicted model, not a curated record.